This 510-nucleotide ribosomal RNA is filed under the name uncultured bacterium. RNAcentral's name for it is "partial 16S ribosomal RNA". It matches the Rfam family "Bacterial small subunit ribosomal RNA", at positions 28 to 507 of the family's 1533-position model. The record is from RNAcentral.
GACGAACGCUGGCGGCGUGCUUAACACAUGCAAGUCGAACGAAGAGCGAUGGAAGCUUGCUUCUAUCAAUCUUAGUGGCGAACGGGUGAGUAACGCGUAAUCAACCUGCCCUUCAGAGGGGGACAACAGUUGGAAACGACUGCUAAUACCGCAUACGAUCUAAUCUCGGCAUCGAGGAUAGAUGAAAGGUGGCCUCUACAUGUAAGCUAUCACUGAAGGAGGGGAUUGCGUCUGAUUAGCUAGUUGGUGGGGGAACGGCCCACCAAGGCGAUGAUCAGUAGCCGGUCUGAGAGGAUGAACGGCCACAUUGGGACUGAGACACGGCCCAGACUCCUACGGGAGGCAGCAGUGGGGAAUCUUCCGCAAUGGACGAAAGUCUGACGGAGCAACGCCGCGUGAGUGAUGACGGCCUUCGGGUUGUAAAGCUCUGUUAAUCGGGACGAAAGGCCUUCUUGCGAAUAGUGAGAAGGAUUGACGGUACCGGAAUAGAAAGCCACGGCUAACUACGUG